Molecule: ribosomal RNA, 500 nt
Filed under: uncultured bacterium
Lineage: Bacteria
Description: partial 16S ribosomal RNA
Rfam family: Bacterial small subunit ribosomal RNA
Source: RNAcentral
UUUGAACGCUGGCGGAAUGCUUUACACAUGCAAGUCGAACGGCAGCACGGGGGCAACCCCGGUGGCGAGUGGCGAACGGGUGAGUAAUGUAUCGGAACGUGCCCAGUCGUGGGGGAUAACGUAGUGAAAAUUACGCUAAUACCGCAUACGAUCUAUGGAUGAAAGCGGGGGAUCGCAAGACCUCGCGCGAUUGGAGCGGCCGAUAUCAGAUUAGGUAGUUGGUGGGGUAAAGGCUCACCAAGCCGACGAUCUGUAGCUGGUCUGAGAGGACGAGCAGCCACACUGGAACUGAGACACGGUCCAGACUCCUACGGGAGGCAGCAGUGGGGAAUUUUGGACAAUGGGCGCAAGCCUGAUCCAGCCAUUCCGCGUGCAGGAUGAAGGCCCUCGGGUUGUAAACUGCUUUUGUACGGAACGAAACGGCGAGCUCUAAUACAGUUUGCUAAUGACGGUACCGUAAGAAUAAGCACCGGCUAACUACGUGCCAGCCGCCGCCGUAA